Molecule: long non-coding RNA, 1499 nt
Filed under: Mytilus galloprovincialis (Mediterranean mussel)
Lineage: Eukaryota; Metazoa; Mollusca; Bivalvia; Mytilida; Mytilidae
Source: RNAcentral
CGUACAUAACAGCGCGUGACGUAUUAAUGUACCGGAAGUUUGGUUUUUGAUCGUGAUUGAAGAAGCUUCACUGAAGAAAAUUAACAACAAAACUUGAUAUAAUAGGUAUGUUUAUCUAUAUUUAUCUACACAUGACGAACAUAAAAAAUAUUUUUUUUAGUCAUGAAAUCAACAAAUGUCUACUUGGACAGGACACACUGAAGUAUAAAUGGAAGAACAUUUUGUUCGAACAUAAAACUGCCCCCCUCCACUUCCACUUAACUGUGCUGUCAUAAUUCGAUUAAAAAAAGUAGCGGUUCUUUGAGAGAUUACAUUCAAAUUAUCAUGUUUAAAAAAAAAAUUAACCUCUGUAAAUUUAUACGUAAAUGUUAAAUGAUAUCGUUGCUAUUGUAAAUGUGUUCUGGUCUCGAACAUGAUGCGUUCAAGCUAAUCGUUUUCUCCGAACGCCAUGUAUUCCUAACACGACUCAAACAUUGUGUAUAGAAAGCAUUAAGAAGAUCAAACGAUCAUCUACACUUUUGAGGAUGUACAUUUUUUAAUUAAAUAAAACCAAUGCAUAAGGAUUUGUUCACAAAUGCAAAAACUGUCAUGACAUUGCAAUGUCAAGACAGAAGUUUGUAAAAAAAAGGCAUACUGCAACACUAAUUUUAAAUUUCUCAUGUAUAUGUUAUUUAUAAUAGCUUUGUAAUUAGUAAUUCAUUUUAGCAAAUGUCCACCCUUGUGCACUGCAUUCAUGUAUUGUAAUGUAUUCCUAUGUUACUUUUAUAGGGUACAAACCCAACUAUACUGUACUUAAGGGUAAUUGUUCGUGCAUACCUCGAGAAUAAAGAGAACAUGUUGCAGUUCAAGAGAUGACUACUUAUCCUGCACCAUAAAAGUACUAUAUGUAAGUUUAAGAAUUUUGAAUAGGAGUGCAUGUCCAUUGACUUCUUACAAGUGUUGUUAUUGCAGAUUUAUCAAUAAAAUGUGCACCAUUCACUUGUUUACAUUAAUCAGAAAGCUAUUUGAGCUAAAUUUGAUGCAAUUACAUCAUCCGUCAAUUAUCCGUAUACAGAUCAUAAGUGAAAAAAUUACUAAAUAUCUUUCAAAAUAAAGGCAAAUGGUAAUUAGUUUCUUGAAAUGUUAGCAGUUAAUUUAGUGACAAGUCUAAGUUGACGAUAAAGUUUUGCCUAAAAAACAUAAUAGCACUUGCUGGACACUUUCUAUCAUUUUUUUAAAAAGAUAUAAGAACACGAGAGCACAUUUGACCACUCAAUUACCACUCAUUGGCAAAUGCAUCUUAUCUUAUAAUGCUGACAAGUAUAAUGGAAUUACAAAAACGAAAUAAGAUUUUCUAAUAUUCUUAAGGAAUGUCGACAUGAUGAAUAAUUUGUUUACUCAUACACUUCAUAUUUCACAUUUUAGAACUUACGGUUGAUGGAUAACAAGGUUAAAGAAUAAUUAUAACCCAAGGAGACGAAUCCUCUAAAAAUGGAAGCUCAAAAUCAGUUGUAAACGAC